GACGAACGCUGGCGGCGUGCUUAACACAUGCAAGUCGAGCGGUAAGGCCCUUUCGGGGGUACGACGAGCGGCGAACGGGUGAGUAACACGUGGGUGACCUGCCCUCCAGCUCUGGGAGUAAGCCUGGGAAACGUGGGUCGUAAUACCGGAUAUGACUCCAUGACGCAUGUUGUGGGGUGGAAAGACCUUGUGCGGCUGAGGAUGGGCCCGCGGCCUAUCAGCUUGUUGGUGGGGUGAUGGCCUACCAAGGCGACGACGGGUAGCCGGCCUGAGAGGGCGACCGGCCACACUGGGACUGAGACACGGCCCAGACUCCUACGGGAGGGCAGCAGUGGGGAAUCUUGCGCAAUGGGCGAAAGCCUGACGCAGCGACGCCGCGUGAGGGAUGACGGCCU
This 395-nucleotide ribosomal RNA is filed under the name uncultured bacterium. RNAcentral's name for it is "bacterial SSU rRNA". It matches the Rfam family "Bacterial small subunit ribosomal RNA", at positions 28 to 417 of the family's 1533-position model. The record is from RNAcentral.